UUAAGCGACUAAGCGUACACGGUGGAUGCCCUGGCAGUCAGAGGCGAUGAAGGACGUGCUAAUCUGCGAUAAGCGUCGGUAAGGUGAUAUGAACCGUUAUAACCGGCGAUUUCCGAAUGGGGAAACCCAGUGUGUUUCGACACACUAUCAUUAACUGAAUCCAUAGGUUAAUGAGGCGAACCGGGGGAACUGAAACAUCUAAGUACCCCGAGGAAAAGAAAUCAACCGAGAUUCCCCCAGUAGCGGCGAGCGAACGGGGAGCAGCCCAGAGCCUGAAUCAGUGUGUGUGUUAGUGGAAGCGUCUGGAAAGGCGCGCGAUACAGGGUGACAGCCCCGUACACAAAAAUGCACAUAUUGUGAGCUCGAUGAGUAGGGCGGGACACGUGGUAUCCUGUCUGAAUAUGGGGGGACCAUCCUCCAAGGCUAAAUACUCCUGACUGACCGAUAGUGAACCAGUACCGUGAGGGAAAGGCGAAAAGAACCCCGGCGAGGGGAGUGAAAAAGAACCUGAAACCGUGUACGUACAAGCAGUGGGAGCACGCUUAGGCGUGUGACUGCGUACCUUUUGUAUAAUGGGUCAGCGACUUAUAUUCUGUAGCAAGGUUAACCGAAUAGGGGAGCCGAAGGGAAACCGAGUCUUAACUGGGCGUUAAGUUGCAGGGUAUAGACCCGAAACCCGGUGAUCUAGCCAUGGGCAGGUUGAAGGUUGGGUAACACUAACUGGAGGACCGAACCGACUAAUGUUGAAAAAUUAGCGGAUGACUUGUGGCUGGGGGUGAAAGGCCAAUCAAACCGGGAGAUAGCUGGUUCUCCCCGAAAGCUAUUUAGGUAGCGCCUCGUGAAUUCAUCUCCGGGGGUAGAGCACUGUUUCGGCAAGGGGGUCAUCCCGACUUACCAACCCGAUGCAAACUGCGAAUACCGGAGAAUGUUAUCACGGGAGACACACGGCGGGUGCUAACGUCCGUCGUGAAGAGGGAAACAACCCAGACCGCCAGCUAAGGUCCCAAAGUCAUGGUUAAGUGGGAAACGAUGUGGGAAGGCCCAGACAGCCAGGAUGUUGGCUUAGAAGCAGCCAUCAUUUAAAGAAAGCGUAAUAGCUCACUGGUCGAGUCGGCCUGCGCGGAAGAUGUAACGGGGCUAAACCAUGCACCGAAGCUGCGGCAGCGACGCUUAUGCGUUGUUGGGUAGGGGAGCGUUCUGUAAGCCUGCGAAGGUGUGCUGUGAGGCAUGCUGGAGGUAUCAGAAGUGCGAAUGCUGACAUAAGUAACGAUAAAGCGGGUGAAAAGCCCGCUCGCCGGAAGACCAAGGGUUCCUGUCCAACGUUAAUCGGGGCAGGGUGAGUCGACCCCUAAGGCGAGGCCGAAAGGCGUAGUCGAUGGGAAACAGGUUAAUAUUCCUGUACUUGGUGUUACUGCGAAGGGGGGACGGAGAAGGCUAUGUUGGCCGGGCGACGGUUGUCCCGGUUUAAGCGUGUAGGCUUGUUUUCCAGGCAAAUCCGGAAAAUCAAGGCUGAGGCGUGAUGACGAGGCACUACGGUGCUGAAGCAACAAAUGCCCUGCUUCCAGGAAAAGCCUCUAAGCAUCAGGUAACAUCAAAUCGUACCCCAAACCGACACAGGUGGUCAGGUAGAGAAUACCAAGGCGCUUGAGAGAACUCGGGUGAAGGAACUAGGCAAAAUGGUGCCGUAACUUCGGGAGAAGGCACGCUGAUAUGUAGGUGAAGUCCCUUGCGGAUGGAGCUGAAAUCAGUCGAAGAUACCAGCUGGCUGCAACUGUUUAUUAAAAACACAGCACUGUGCAAACACGAAAGUGGACGUAUACGGUGUGACGCCUGCCCGGUGCCGGAAGGUUAAUUGAUGGGGUCAGCGCAAGCGAAGCUCUUGAUCGAAGCCCCGGUAAACGGCGGCCGUAACUAUAACGGUCCUAAGGUAGCGAAAUUCCUUGUCGGGUAAGUUCCGACCUGCACGAAUGGCGUAAUGAUGGCCAGGCUGUCUCCACCCGAGACUCAGUGAAAUUGAACUCGCUGUGAAGAUGCAGUGUACCCGCGGCAAGACGGAAAGACCCCGUGAACCUUUACUAUAGCUUGACACUGAACAUUGAGCCUUGAUGUGUAGGAUAGGUGGGAGGCUUUGAAGUGUGGACGCCAGUCUGCAUGGAGCCGGCCUUGAAAUACCACCCUUUAAUGUUUGAUGUUCUAACGUGGACCCGUGAUCCGGGUUGCGGACAGUGUCUGGUGGGUAGUUUGACUGGGGCGGUCUCCUCCUAAAGAGUAACGGAGGAGCACGAAGGUUGGCUAAUCCUGGUCGGACAUCAGGAGGUUAGUGCAAUGGCAUAAGCCAGCUUGACUGCGAGCGUGACGGCGCGAGCAGGUGCGAAAGCAGGUCAUAGUGAUCCGGUGGUUCUGAAUGGAAGGGCCAUCGCUCAACGGAUAAAAGGUACUCCGGGGAUAACAGGCUGAUACCGCCCAAGAGUUCAUAUCGACGGCGGUGUUUGGCACCUCGAUGUCGGCUCAUCACAUCCUGGGGCUGAAGUAGGUCCCAAGGGUAUGGCUGUUCGCCAUUUAAAGUGGUACGCGAGCUGGGUUUAGAACGUCGUGAGACAGUUCGGUCCCUAUCUGCCGUGGGCGCUGGAGAACUGAGGGGGGCUGCUCCUAGUACGAGAGGACCGGAGUGGACGCAUCACUGGUGUUCGGGUUGUCAUGCCAAUGGCACUGCCCGGUAGCUAAAUGCGGAAGAGAUAAGUGCUGAAAGCAUCUAAGCACGAAACUUGCCCCGAGAUGAGUUCUCCCUGACCCUUUAAGGGUCCUGAAGGAACGUUGAAGACGACGACGUUGAUAGGCCGGGUGUGUAAGCGCAGCGAUGCGUUGAGCUAACCGGUACUAAUGAACCGUGAGGCUUAACCUU
This 2902-nucleotide ribosomal RNA is filed under the name Shigella sonnei 4822-66. Its description in RNAcentral is "bacterial LSU rRNA". It matches the Rfam family "Bacterial large subunit ribosomal RNA". The record is from RNAcentral. Lineage: Bacteria; Pseudomonadati; Pseudomonadota; Gammaproteobacteria; Enterobacterales; Enterobacteriaceae.